Long non-coding RNA from Mangifera indica (mango), 2178 nucleotides. RefSeq lists it as uncharacterized. NCBI's taxonomy places the organism in Eukaryota, Viridiplantae, Streptophyta, Magnoliopsida, Sapindales, Anacardiaceae. The transcript has 3 exons. The record is from RefSeq and is a predicted model, not a curated record.
AUUCCAUGCCCUUCUCUUUAAUCCUCCUGACUCCGUCUGACACCGGACGGUUAAGAUCCGAUUAACCAAAUCUAAUCAAAUCUAAUAAAAUUUGUCGACGUUCUCACGCGCCGCGGCCAAUCAAGUGGAAGAAGAUGGUGGAUCCAGCCACCACGCCGCUCGGCAAAAUGCUUUUGGACAAGAUCACGCCCGUCGUCAUGCUGCUCCUGCUCCUCUCGUUGAAGAAUCUUGCCUCAAGAACGGCUUCUUUUUGCUCCAGAUGCUCAACUGUUAUGUAACUUCACUAACAUCGACGGUCAAUUUCUCAAUCCUCUGACCUCUCUCUUUAUAAAAUAUUAAUGUCAAUGACUGGAACUUGAGAUGUUUGCUUCUGUGAAAUUUGACGAUAUGGUGCCAGUACGGGCAUUUGGCUUAUCUAUAAGAAUUCGUAUCUGUGUAUUUAUGUUUAACUGAGCUGAGCUUGGGGUGUUAGCAUCUUUGAAAAUUUAAUGGCGUGGUGCCUGUACGGACAUUGAACGUUAUGUUUAUGUGUGUAUCAAUUGAGUAGAAUUUGCGUGUAUGGACUUUGGGUCUUUGAAUUUGAGGGUGCAGUGCUUGCGUGGACAUCGAGCUUAUGUGUAGGUGUAUUUAUGUGUGUGCUUGCAUGUCAGUUGCGUAGAAUUUUAAGUUUUUGGAUCUUUGAUGGUGCAGUGCCGGUAAGGACUGUGAGUGAUAAACCCUACAGGCUACAAAAGUUAAAGUUACGAUUGUUUUAUGAGUCUGAUAUUCGGCAGCCAAAUUUAGAGGUAUCGGUGUUCAUUAAAUUAUCCAUUUCGUAGCUUGAGGAAAUUAAUUUUAUGAGUUGGCCUGAUAGACAGUCCAUGUAUUCUUUAUUUAUUGGGCAAAAAUCAAAGCUAAUAUAGUGCAAUAGUGUAUAAAUAAGGGAUGCUUAUUUGAAAUGAAAGAUGAAUUAGGAGAUAAGAGAGUGGAAAUAGAAAGGGGCUAUGAAAAUAUACUUGAAGCAAUAUUAGGUUUCCACAUUCAUGGGCAUCUCUUAUUAUAUUUUUAUUUGGUAGGAAAUAAACUAUCAAUGGAAGACCUAAAACUCUUCAACCGAAUCAUCAUUGUGGAUGUUGAAUAAUAUGAAUGGAAUACCCUACAGGUUACAUAAGUUCAAGUUAUGAUUGUUUUAUGAGUCUGAUAUUCAGCAGCCGAAUAUAGAGGUAUUGGUGUUCAUUAAAUUAUCCAUUUCUUAUCUUGAGGAAAUUAAUUUUAUGAGUUGGCCUGAUCAAUAGUCAAUGCAUUGUUUGUUUAUUGGGCAAAAACAAAGCUAAUCUAGUGCAAUAGCAUAUAAAUAAGGGAUGCUUAUUUGAGAUGAAAGAUGAAUUAAGAGAUAGAGAGUGCAAAUAAGGGGCUAUGAAAAUAUACUUGAAGCAAUAUUAGGUUUCAAUAGUCGUGGGCAUCUCCUAUUAUAUUCUUAUUUGGUAGGAAAUGAACUAGCAGUUAAAGACUUAAAACUCUUCAACUGAAUCAUCAUUGUGGAUGUUGUUAAUGUUCUUUAUCUGACAAUGUUUUUUUGUAACCAAGGAGCGGCUGAAGCAAGUUAUUGCCCAGGCUUGGGAGAAAGACCUUUCUGAAUCAUUUUUAGACCCUAAUUAAUAAUGCAGUUGGUAGAUCUGAAUCUGAAAAUUUUCCAUCUUGGUUUCAGAUCUUGAAUUAAGAGCUCAUACAUAUUGUGUCCUUUCAGACCAUGAAGCUUUUGACCAUCCUGUGGCAUGUCUUCUGGUUGUUUCUUCUAAGGAAGAGCAGUUUUGACUUGUGUGCAUAUGAACUAUGGUUAAAAGUUUUGGAAAGUAUGUUAUCUUGUGAUGAUGUGUGAAAAGGGGAUUGGAUUUAAUACAAUUUCGUGUAUUGAGGUAGAAUCCUUAGUAUGGUAAUAGGCUUGACUGGUGUGCAUAUGAACAUUGGUAAAGUUCUGGGAAGUAUGCUGUUGGGUAGCUGGGCAACUCUUCUUCCAGCAGAACUCUUUGUCAGCCUCCUCAGAGUUCCAGACACUGCUUCACCUUAAAUUUUCUUCUUAAUAAACACAAACAGCAACACAAACACAAGCAACUCACAACAAUGUAACAGUAGAAAUUGAGACAAUUUCUGGAAAUACGUAUUUUUAUUUGAUUACUAAUAUAGUGGUCAAAUUUAUAA